GCUUAGAAGCAGCCACUCAUUAAAAGAGUGCGUAAUAGCUCACUGGUCGAGUGACUCUGCGCCGAAAAUUUAACGGGGCUAAACUAUACACCGAAGCUUGGGAUACAUCUAAUGUAUGGUAGGAGAGCGUUCUGUAUGGGGAGAAGUCGUAGCGAAAGCGGCGGUGGACUAUACAGAAGUGAGAAUGCCGGAAUAAGUAGCGAGAAUUAAGUGAGAAUCUUAAUGGCCGAAAGUCUAAGGUUUUUGGAGGAAGGUUCGUCCGCUCCAAGUAAGUCGGGAGCUAAGGUCAGGCCGAAAGGCGUAGCCGAUGCACAUACGGUUGAUAUUCCGUAACCAUCUGUAAUUUAAGCAAAGGGACACUUCAAAAGGGUGUGACCCGGGCGUUGGUUGACCCGGGCGUAAGGGACCGAAAUCAGAGUAGGGAAGCACACUUAGCUGAAGGCGAGAAAAGCUUUGCGUAUAGAAACAGAUGCCCGUACCGCAAACCGACACAGGUGGACAGGAAGAGAAUUCUAAGGCCAGCGGGAGAAGGGUAGUUAAGGAACUCGGCAAAUUGACUCCGUAACUUCGGAAUAAGGAGUGCUCGAAAGAGCCGCAGAGAAUAGGCCCAGGCGACUGUUUAGCAAAAACACAGGUCUCUGCCAAAUCGAAAGAUGAAGUAUAGGGGCUGACACCUGCCCGGUGCCGGAAGGUUAAGAGGAGGAGUGAGAGCUCCGAAUUGAAGCCCCGGUAAACGGCGGCCGUAACUAUAACGGUCCUAAGGUAGCGAAAUUCCUUGUCGGGUAAGUUCCGACCCGCACGAAUGGUGUAAUGAUCUGGACACUGUCUCAACAACGCACCCGGCGAAAUUGUAGUACCGGUGAAGAUGCCGGUUACCCGCGGCAAGACGGAAAGACCCCAUGGAGCUUUACUGUAACUUAAUAUUGGGUCUCGGUACUUUAUGUACAGGAUAGGCGGGAGACUUGGAAACUAGCACGCCAGUGUUAGCGGAGUCAUCCUUGGGAUACCGCUCUUAAGGUAUUGAGAUUCUAACCUGCAGCCUUGAAUCAGGUUGGGGGACAUUGUUAGGUGGGCAGUUUGACUGGGGCGGUCGCCUCCAAAAGAGUAACGGAGGCGUUCAAAGGUUGGCUCAGCAUGGACGGAAACCAUGCUUUAGAGUAUAAACGCAUAAGCCAGCCUAACUGCGAGACUGACGGGUCGAGCAGUAACGAAAGUUGGAGUUAGUGAUC
RNAcentral lists this ribosomal RNA (1229 nucleotides) under human gut metagenome. RNAcentral's name for it is "bacterial LSU rRNA". It matches the Rfam family "Bacterial large subunit ribosomal RNA", at positions 1104 to 2420 of the family's 2925-position model. The record is from RNAcentral.